GACGAACGCUGGCGGCGUGCUUAACACAUGCAAGUCGAACGGUGACGAGGAGCUUGCUCCUCUGAUCAGUGGCGAACGGGUGAGUAACACGUGAGCAACCUGCCCCAGACUCUGGGAUAACAGUUGGAAACAGCUGCUAAUACCGGAUACGAGACGGAGAGGCAUCUCUACCGUCUGGAAAGUUUUUCGGUCUGGGAUGGACUCGCGGCCUAUCAGCUAGUUGGUGAGGUAAUGGCUCACCAAGGCGACGACGGGUAGCCGGCCUGAGAGGGCGACCGGCCACACUGGGACUGAGACACGGCCCAGACUCCUACGGGAGGCAGCAGUGGGGAAUAUUGCACAAUGGGCGAAAGCCUGAUGCAGCGACGCCGCGUGAGGGAUGAAGGCCUUCGGGUUGUAAACCUCUUUCAGCAGGGAAGAAGCGAAAGUGACGGUACCUGCAGAAGAAGCACCGGCUAACUACGUGCCAGCAGCCG
This 476-nucleotide ribosomal RNA is filed under the name uncultured bacterium. RNAcentral's name for it is "bacterial SSU rRNA". It matches the Rfam family "Bacterial small subunit ribosomal RNA", at positions 28 to 517 of the family's 1533-position model. The record is from RNAcentral.